Rhineura floridana is the source of this 1499-nucleotide long non-coding RNA. RefSeq lists it as uncharacterized. The record is from RefSeq and is a predicted model, not a curated record. The transcript is spliced from 5 exons. Lineage: Eukaryota; Metazoa; Chordata; Lepidosauria; Squamata; Rhineuridae.
AUGCCUAAAGGGCCAAAGUUCAGCCAGGAGAGCAGGGUCUGGGUUUUUACCGACAUUGCCAGCGCGAUAGGCCCAGCCCAUUCAGAACGCCUCUCCUUACGCGCCAAAUGGGAGGGGUUUCCUCCCUCCUCCUCAACGCAAAUCGAAAGCGCGACGUGGAGUGCCCGAUCUGAUUGUGCCACAGUAAAGGGUUAAAAAACCCUACUGCUCCCCAAACUAUAGUCCCAAUCCAUAUUAGCCGGACCUCGCCCCCGCCGUGGCAAAGUGUGUAGAAAACGCCGUGCGCUUAAACGCACAUCUAAUUGCAUAUGCGUACUUUGGUGAAAACAGGUGGGGACGCAAGCCUUGGAAUUUUAACCGGCUGUUGAGGAAGCAAUUAAGCACCCCCUCCCUCCUCUAUUCACAAUCGCGUCCUUCUUAGGCUCAGUUACUACAUUUGACUUAAGGUACUGUACUUCGCCAAUUGACCGAAAACCGCUGCUCCUCGGAGAGCGAGAGUGCCCUGUGUUGCCCCCUCAACUCGUCUACAAACUUUCCACGAGUUUAGCUAAUUUUCUCCGGAGUGUUUCUGCAUUCUCUUUCACCUUGCUCCCAUUAAACGUGUGGAGAGGAAGCCCCGCGAGUGGAGCUAAAAUUAAUGCAACGCGCCACAUCGACAGGUGUCUGCUGCCGCAGAGACAACGCCGCCAUCGCCCCUCGCGACUUUGGGGCUCGUCCCCGUCGGACUCUUUACCUGCCGGUUGGAGGACGCCACAAAGACAUACCAAGAGGCCAAGGAGGAGGCCCCUGCUGACCGUUAGCCCAUCUCCCCCUUGCAUGCCUCUUGCUUACGAGGCGCAGCCUUGGUUUCAGAAGGAGCAAGUUGGUUCCCUGGGAGCUAUUUCCGCUACAAGGUUUCAUUUUCGCUUCUAACGAUCUUGUCAUCUUGGCUGCGACUAUAGGAGGCAGCGGUGAAACUUAAAAUAACGUUGUUUUGAACUUUCAAGUAAAUAAGGAACUGGGAACUAGGAACCAACUUCAGUGUCUUCAGUUCCUGGUGGACAACUGAACCUCAGGAGUGUGGGGAACCACCAGAAGUGCCCUAUCAAAAGAUUGUAAGGAGGUGCGGAGGGUGGCAACAGGCCUUUUCGUUAGUGACUGUGGAACGCUUUCCCCAGGGAGAUAUACCUGGUACCAUCAUUAUCAACUUUUAGGUGCCAGGCAAAGAUGUUCCUGCUUACCCAGGCAUUCGGUUCUUUUGGGAUCAUAUGGUACUCAGCUGGAGAUGGCAAGGACUGAACCUGAGAAUUUAUCCAUGCAGGUGAUAUGCUCCAUUCACAGGAGCUAUGAUCUGAAAACUGCAGGAGAGCAAUUUUCCCAGGGAAAGAUCAUAAAAAGGACAGAGUGCUGGCACCAAGGCAAGAGUGCAAGACACAACAGAGGAAAGCAGAAACAGAAAAUUGAAGAAGCAUGGGGCCUACAGGCCUCUCUGGCCAUGUGCUGGUUCGAUGAAAAGUCUC